This 387-nucleotide ribosomal RNA is filed under the name uncultured bacterium. RNAcentral describes it as "bacterial SSU rRNA". It matches the Rfam family "Bacterial small subunit ribosomal RNA", at positions 29 to 417 of the family's 1533-position model. The record is from RNAcentral.
AUUGAACGCUGGCGGCAUGCCUUACACAUGCAAGUCGAACGGCAGCACGGGAGCAAUCCUGGUGGCGAGUGGCGAACGGGUGAGUAAUAUAUCGGAACGUGCCCAGUCGUGGGGAUAACGUAGCGAAAGCUACGCUAAUGCCGCAUACGAUCUACGGAUGAAAGCGGGGGAUCGCAAGACCUCGCGCGAUUGGAGCGGCCGAUAUCAGAUUAGGUAGUUGGUGAGGUAAAGGCUCACCAAGCCGACGAUCUGUAGCUGGUCUGAGAGGACGACCAGCCACACUGGGACUGAGACACGGCCCAGACUCCUACGGGAGGCAGCAGUGGGGAAUUUUGGGACAAUGGGCGCAAGCCUGAUCCAGCAAUGCCGCGUGCAGGAUGAAGGCCU